GCGCCCGUAGCUCAGUGGAUAGAGCAUCGGCCUCCGAAGCCGUGUGCGUGGGUCCGACUCCCACCGGGCGCACCA
RNAcentral lists this transfer RNA (75 nucleotides) under Pectinatus cerevisiiphilus. Its description in RNAcentral is "tRNA-Arg". It matches the Rfam family "tRNA". Rfam says of the family: Transfer RNA (tRNA) molecules are approximately 80 nucleotides in length. Their secondary structure includes four short double-helical elements and three loops (D, anti-codon, and T loops). RNAcentral also lists the same sequence under 1 other name. The record is from RNAcentral. Lineage: Bacteria; Bacillati; Bacillota; Negativicutes; Selenomonadales; Selenomonadaceae.